CAAAAUAUAGCUUAACCAAAGCACUUCGCUUACACCGAACUAAUAUCUGUUCAAACCAGAUUAUUUUGAGCC
RNAcentral lists this transfer RNA (72 nucleotides) under Arthroleptis variabilis (Buea screeching frog). RNAcentral describes it as "tRNA-Val". It matches the Rfam family "tRNA". From Rfam's summary of the family: Transfer RNA (tRNA) molecules are approximately 80 nucleotides in length. Their secondary structure includes four short double-helical elements and three loops (D, anti-codon, and T loops). Lineage: Eukaryota; Metazoa; Chordata; Amphibia; Anura; Arthroleptidae. The record is from RNAcentral.